This 397-nucleotide ribosomal RNA is filed under the name uncultured bacterium. RNAcentral's name for it is "partial 16S ribosomal RNA". It matches the Rfam family "Bacterial small subunit ribosomal RNA", at positions 523 to 918 of the family's 1533-position model. The record is from RNAcentral.
AUACGUAGGGGGCGAGCGUUGUCCGGAAUGAUUGGGCAUAAAGGGCGCGUAGGCGGCCCGGUAAGUCUGGAGUGAAAGUCCUGUUUUUAAGAUGGGAAUUGCUUUGGAUACUGUCGGGCUUGAGUGCAGGAGAGGUAAGUGGAAUUCCCAGUGUAGCGGUGAAAUGCGUAGAGAUUGGGAGGAACACCAGUGGCGAAGGCGACUUACUGGGCUGUAACGGACGCUGAGGCGCGAAAGUGUGGGGGGCAAACAGGAUUAGAUACCCUGGUAGUCCACACUGUAAACGAUGAAUGCUAGGUGUAGGGGGUAUCGACCCCUUCUGUGCCGCAGUCAACACAAUAAGCAUUCCGCCUGGGGAGUACGGCCGCAAGGUUGAAACUCAAAGGAAUUGACGGGG